AUUGAACGCUGGCGGCAUGCUUUACACAUGCAAGUCGAACGGCAGCGCGGGCUUCGGCCUGGCGGCGAGUGGCGAACGGGUGAGUAAUACAUCGGAACGUGCCCAGUAGUGGGGGAUAGCUCGGCGAAAGCCGGAUUAAUACCGCAUACGACCUGAGGGUGAAAGCGGGGGAGCUUCGGACCUCGCGCUCGUGGGGCGGCCGAUGGCAGGUUAGCUAGUUGGUGGGGUAAGGGCCUACCAAGGCGAGGAUCGGUAGGUGGUCUGAGAGGAAGACCGGCCACACUGGGACUGAGACACGGCCCAGACUCCUACGGGAGGCAGCAGUGGGGAAUUUGGGACAAUGGGCGAAAGCCUGAUCCAGCAAGGCGGCGUGUGUGAUGAAGGCCUUCGGGUUGUAAAGCACUUUUGGCGGGAACGAAAAGGACUGUGCCAAUACCACGGUUCGAUGACGGUACCCGCAGAAUAAGCACCGGCUAACUACGUG
RNAcentral lists this ribosomal RNA (484 nucleotides) under uncultured bacterium. RNAcentral's name for it is "partial 16S ribosomal RNA". It matches the Rfam family "Bacterial small subunit ribosomal RNA", at positions 28 to 507 of the family's 1533-position model. The record is from RNAcentral.